RNAcentral lists this ribosomal RNA (1358 nucleotides) under Pseudomonas sp. Met 5. RNAcentral's name for it is "bacterial SSU rRNA". It matches the Rfam family "Bacterial small subunit ribosomal RNA", at positions 78 to 1426 of the family's 1533-position model. Lineage: Bacteria; Pseudomonadati; Pseudomonadota; Gammaproteobacteria; Pseudomonadales; Pseudomonadaceae. The record is from RNAcentral.
GCUUGCUCCUUGAUUCAACGGCGGACGGAUGAGUAAUGCCUAGGAAUCUGCCUGGUAGUGGGGGACAACGUUUCGAAAGGAACGCUAAUACCGCAUACGUCCUACGGGAGAAAGUGGGGGAUCUUCGGACCUCCCGCUAUCAAAUGAACCUAGGUCGGAUUAACUAGUUGGUGAGGUAAUGGCUCACCCAGGCGACGAUCCAUAACUGGUCUGAGAGGAUGAUCAAUCACACUGGAACUGAGACACGGUCCAGACUCCUACGGGAGGCAGCAGUGGGGAAUAUUGGACAAUGGGCGAAAGCCUGAUCCAGCCAUGCCGCGUGUGUGAAGAAGGUCUUCGGAUUGUAAAGCACUUUAAGUUGGGAGGAAGGGCAGUAAGUUAAUACCUUGCUGUUUUGACGUUACCGACAGAAUAAACACCGGCUAACUCUGUGCCAGCAGCCGCGGUAAUACAGAGGGUGCAAGCGUUAAUCGGAAUUACUGGGCGUAAAGCGCGCGUAGGUGGUUCGUUAAGUUGGAUGUGAAAGCCCCGGGCUCAACCUGGUAACUGCAUCCUAAACUGGUGAGCUACAAUACGGUAGAAGGUGGUGGAAUUUCCUGUGUAGCGGUGAUAUGCUUAGAUAUAAUAAGGAACACCACUGGCGAAGGCGACCACCUGGAGUGAUACUGACGCUGAUGUGCGACAGCGUGGGGAGCAAACAGGAUGAUAUACUCUGCUAGUCCACGCCGUAAACGAUGUCGACUAUCCGUUGGUAUCCCUCGAUGAUUGUAGUUGCCUGCAGCUAACGCAUUAAGUUGACCGCCUGGGGAGUACGGCCGCAAGGUUAAAACUCAAAUGAAUUGACGGGGGCCCGCACAAGCGGUGGAGCAUGUGGUUUAAUUUGAAGCAACGGGAAGAACCUUACCAGGCCUUGACAUGCAGAGAACUUUCCAGAGAUGGAUUGGUGCCUUCGGGAAAUUUGACACAGGUGCUGCAUGGCUGUUGUCAGCUCGUGUCGUGAGAUGUUGGGUUAAGUUCCGUAACGAGCGCCACCCUUGUCCUUAGUUACCAGCCCGUUAUGGUGGGCACUCUAAGGAGACUGCCGGUGACAAACCGGAGGAAGGUGGGGAUGACGUCAAGUCAUCAUGGCCCUUACGGCCUGGGCUACACACGUGCUACAAUGGUCGGUACAGAGGGUUGCCAAGUCGCGAGGGCGAGCUAAUCUCACAAAACCGAUCGUAGUCCGGAUCGCAGUCUGCAACUCGACUGCGUGAAGUCGGAAUCGCUAGUAAUCGCGAAUCAGAAUGUCGACGGUGAAUACGUUCCCGGGCCUUGUACACACCGCCCGUCACACCAAGGGGAGUGGGUUGCACCAGAAG